GGGCCCGCUUUCUUUUGGCAGAGUGCAUAUGUCUGCAGAGAGACCUCGGAGUUGAGAACUCAGCAGCUCAGCUUGGAACAAAACAGCUGCCGUGUUCUCCUUCGCAACCACCCCGGAUGACCCUGGAACUGCUCCUUUUCCCUAACCCACUGUGGGAGCCGGCUCUGGGGACAUAUGACGUGCAUUUGCCAAGAGAUCCCAGAACAGGUGCCCGAGUCCCUGGAGACAGGAUUGUUGCAGACGUAAUCAGUUAAGAGGAUGUCAGAUUGGAGUAGGGUGGACCCUACUCCAUAUGAUCGGCAUCCUUAUAAAAAGGGGUAGAUCUGGACACAGGCACAUGCACAGGAAGAAGACCACCGGAACAUGAAGUAGAGAUCAGAAUAAUGUGACCAAGGGACACCAAAGAUGGCCAGAAAAAUAGAGGCAUGGGACAGAAUUCUCCCCCACAAUCCUGAGAAGGAAUCGACCCUGCUGAUACCUUGGCUUUGGCCUUCAAACCUGCAGAACUGUAAGGCAGUACUGUUGGCUAGGCCAUCCACUCAUGCUACCUAGUUUUAGCAACCCUAGCCAAGAAUUCAGGUCCCCACCAAACUAUGAAUUCAAUGAAGGCAAAUCUUCACAGCUGAGCCAUUAAGUCUUGUUUGUUUCUACCACCUAAUAGCUCACUUCUCACCAGUACCUUGAACUUAAGCCCCAGAAUCUCACCUCGGGGCUACUGAGCUAUCCUCCAGUGGAGGCUAUCCCUGCCUCCAGUCUUAGCCCCUCCAACCAAUCCUUCAUGCCAGGGAGAAGGAACUGAUGGAUCUGAAGUCCAAGCCAAAGUAAGACCUACCUUGACUUCAUGACCAAUUCUUCUCGUCACCCACAAGGCCCUUCAUUCUCUGGCUCCCACUCCUGGCUCAGGCCUCUCCCCCUGCCUCAGGCCCCCUUGAUCUACAUGCUUCGGCCUCACUCAGCACACUAGGGUCCCUCCUGACUCCAUUCUGGAUCCCAGGUGCCUGAACCCGGCCAGCAUCUCUUCACCCUGUUUCUGAAUCUUGUGUGUACAUCUAUCAUCUGUUUGUAUCUUCAGGCUCAUUCCUGAGACGUAAGUUUCUGGGCUGAACAGGGAUUGAGUCUGAUUGCAUCUUGGAAUUCCAAUGACUAGCAGGUGGCUGGCACAGUUUAGAACUUUAUGGAAUGUUGGGGGUGGGACCAAAUGCCUCCUGCCCUUAACUGAGUCAAGAAGUCCUUGGGCACUUUAGCCCUGUGUGCUAACACUUUAAGGGACAACGACAAGGCACAGUCCCUACGGCGUAGGGGUUCCCAGUCAAGAAAGACGAGUGAGUUAAGUCAGUAGGUGCUGGGUGGCUGCCAUGUGCCUCCAUGUUCCUGUGGCCUUCUUCCUGUGUGUGUGCCUAUGUUCAGGAUGUCAGUCAUUGCUCUAAGCACUUCGGGAGCAUCAAUUUAUUUGAUCCUCAAAGUAAUCUUUGAUAUUUGAAGAAAUUGAGGCAGAAAAAAGGGAAAUUUGUUGAUUUGCUCCAGAUAAAAAAUCUGGUCCAACCUGGGGCUCAGAGAGUGACUCCAAAGCUCUCACCUGCAGGCGUCUGGGCAGCGCGUCAUGCGUGCGUCUGGCCCAUGUGCCUCCCAGUGUCUUUCCAGCACAUCUCUACACCCAGCUUCUCCUAGUUCAAGUCACCCUGUUCUCUCUCCGAGUCCCUUUAGCACGCCCCCACUCCUCCGCUCUCCCUGUCACACUCUGCAGGCACCCCACGAACCUGGGAUGUCACCGUCCUUACUCAGGGAGUGUCCAUGGCUCUUAAGAUCAGGAUGAGACUAUAAUCCGGCCCCCAGACCUGAAUUGCUGGGUCUUUUCACACCUAGGAUCUUUUCUCUGUGAGCCUUGAUCUUGUUCAUUUCGUGCUUUUCUGAGUCUUUGUGUGUGCCAUUCCCUGUGCCUGGAAACCCUCCCACCCUCUUUUUGUCUAAAUCAUUACCCUUCAUUUGGAUCUCAACUCCAGGUCUGCUGUCCAGAGAAGCCCCUCCUACCCUCCCUGUCCACCAUGAGCAGGUCAGACCCUAUUAUGGGUGCUGUGCUUUGAACACGGUUUAAGUGUGUGCCCCCGGGGGCCAUUUGUUGGUGUCUUGGUCCCCAAGAUAGUGGUAUCAGGAGGUGGUGAUAAUAAGAGGUGAGACCUAGUGGUACGUCCUUGGGUCAAUUGAGGAUGUGACCUUGAAAGGACUGUGGGAGCUCAGUCUCUAUUUGGCCUCUGUUGGUAAUGUGAUCUCUCUCUCUCUCUCUCUCUCUCUCUCUCUCUCUCUCUCUCGCUGCCCCCCACCUGCCAUGCGGUUCUUGUUAGAGCCUGUGCCAUGAUGUUUGGAAUCAGCCUCCAAGACUCUACUCUCUUCCUUUGGUUUUGGCCUGAGGGAGUUGUGAGGAAGAAGUGAGAAGACUGUAAAGCUCCAAUCUGAGUAACGGAGGCACAGUUAUGGAGUUGCCUUAUUGUGCCGACCAUCGUUCUCAAAACUCUCUUCUGUGACAGAGAGAAGUCAGAAAAAGCCAGCCUCAUCAUCAUUCUCGGCGGACACAACAUCUUUGUUGGUAUGUGGUGCUGAGGAUCGAACCCGGGCCGCACGCACGCCAGGCGAGCGCGCUACCGCUUGAGCCACAUCCCCAGCCCCAAGGGAAUGCAAUUUCUGGUGAGCCAUCAAGAUGUCCUAGGCAGGGCUGCCCUCCUUCUGCUUCUACCAAGCUCAGCCCAGGGGAGAGGAACACACGGAAGACCUAGGUGGCAGGGCUCCGAGGGACCACCUGGUGCCACUGCUUUGUUUUACCAUUUGGAAUCAUAAGGGCCCGAGAAGUGAGGAUGCCGCUGAAUGUCACCCAGCACGAGUCAGAGAUGAGGAUGGAGGGAGCUGAGCAUGAACGUCCUUGCCAGAGGCCAUUAGGGAGGUUCUGAUGAAGCUGAGGGUAUAAAUGUUUGACUGUGGACUUGGAGGUAAAGAAUGCUGAGUCCCAGGGAAUGAAGGAAUCAUUAGUAGAGACAGAAGCUGAAGAAUCAGCGUCAACAAAUCUCCCAGUGGCUCCCAGGGACCCCAGUUAAGGCUUCUUUCUUCUCUUCAUUUUCUUGAAAAUAAAUUAAAACUCUUUCAGUUUGUUCUGCCA
Molecule: non-coding RNA, 3145 nt
Organism: Ictidomys tridecemlineatus (thirteen-lined ground squirrel)
Lineage: Eukaryota; Metazoa; Chordata; Mammalia; Rodentia; Sciuridae
Source: RefSeq, a predicted model, not a curated record